Ictidomys tridecemlineatus (thirteen-lined ground squirrel) is the source of this 107-nucleotide small nuclear RNA. Lineage: Eukaryota; Metazoa; Chordata; Mammalia; Rodentia; Sciuridae. The record is from Ensembl.
GUGUUCACAUCAGCAGCAUAUAUACUAAAAUUGGAAUGAUACAGAGAAAAUCAGCAUGUCCCCUGUGCAAGGGUGAUACAUAAAUUCACAAAGCAUUCCAUACUUUU